RNAcentral lists this ribosomal RNA (460 nucleotides) under uncultured bacterium. RNAcentral describes it as "partial 16S ribosomal RNA". It matches the Rfam family "Bacterial small subunit ribosomal RNA", at positions 338 to 795 of the family's 1533-position model. The record is from RNAcentral.
CCUACGGGUGGCAGCAGUGAGGAAUAUUGGUCAAUGGGCUUACGCCUGAACCAGCCAAGUCGCGUGAGGGAAGACUGCCCUAUGGGUUGUAAACCUCUUUUGUCAGGGAGAAAUUUGCGCUACGUGUAGCGUUAUCGAGAGUACCUGAAGAAAAAGCAUCGGCUAACUCCGUGCCAGCCGCCGCGGUAAUACGGAGGAUGCGAGCGUUAUCCGGAUUGAUUGGGUUUAAAGGGUGCGUAGGCGGAAUGCCAAGUCAGCGGUAAAAUCGCGGGGCUCAACCUCGCUCCGCCGUUGAAACUGGCGUUCUUGAGUGGGCGAGAAGUAUGCGGAAUGCGUGGUGUAGCGGUGAAAUGCAUAGAUAUCACGCAGAACUCCGAUUGCGAAGGCAGCAUACCGGCGCCCAACUGACGCUGAAGCACGAAAGCGUGGGUAUCGAACAGGAUUAGAUACCCGUGUAGUC